CCCUUAGAUGUUCUGGGCUGCACACGCGCUACACUGAAGGAGGCAGCGUGUACUCCUGGAUCGAAAGAUUUGGGUAACCCGCGAAUCUCCUUCGUGCUAGGGAUUGAGGUUUGCAAUUAUCCUUCAUGAACGAGGAAUUCCCAGUAAGUGCAAGUCAUAAGCUUGCGCUGACUACGUCCCUGCCCUUUGUACACACCGCCCGUCGCUACUACCGAUUGAAUGAUUUAGUGAGGACUUCGGACUGGGACCGAUGCGGCUUUCGGGCUGCGUCGGUAUUCUGGAAAGAUGUCCAAACUGUAUCAUUUAGAGGAAGUAAAAGUCGUANCA
This 327-nucleotide ribosomal RNA is filed under the name uncultured eukaryote. Its description in RNAcentral is "partial 18S ribosomal RNA". It matches the Rfam family "Eukaryotic small subunit ribosomal RNA", at positions 1470 to 1796 of the family's 1831-position model. The record is from RNAcentral.